AGUCGUGUAGUACCGUAGUGGUUACGCGCCCGUAAAGAGACCAGGUGGUCGCGAGUUCGAAUCCCCCCACGACGA
Molecule: transfer RNA, 75 nt
Filed under: Hordeum vulgare
Lineage: Eukaryota; Viridiplantae; Streptophyta; Magnoliopsida; Poales; Poaceae
Description: tRNA-OTHER
Source: RNAcentral